Prionailurus viverrinus (fishing cat) is the source of this 335-nucleotide long non-coding RNA. RefSeq lists it as uncharacterized. The record is from RefSeq and is a predicted model, not a curated record. Lineage: Eukaryota; Metazoa; Chordata; Mammalia; Carnivora; Felidae. The transcript has 3 exons.
AGCUCUUCCAUCAGCUCUAGACUGAAGUUACCCAGCAUCAAAUGGAACAAAAUGGCCCAGCCCAGCCCAGACUAGGCUGACACACACACCAAACGAAUGGUUAUCCGGCUACAAGGCAAAGUGGGUGAUGGACCAAAUAGAGGGCUCUUUUGAAGAUUCUGGAUCUGUCUCGCCCCUCCUUCCUUCACCAGAGAAAUCCAAGGUGAUGAUAAGACGAUGUGGUCGACUAUAAAAACUGUACCCCAGCUGUUCAAGGCUGCACUCUGAUCAAGAUCAAGAGUGUCAGUCCUGAUCCCUCGGCCUUGCCUCUCGUUGCAAUAAACUUUGCUGUGACA